This 711-nucleotide ribosomal RNA is filed under the name Limosilactobacillus reuteri. RNAcentral's name for it is "bacterial SSU rRNA". It matches the Rfam family "Bacterial small subunit ribosomal RNA", at positions 750 to 1460 of the family's 1533-position model. Lineage: Bacteria; Bacillati; Bacillota; Bacilli; Lactobacillales; Lactobacillaceae. RNAcentral also lists the same sequence under 1 other name. The record is from RNAcentral.
GGCUCGAAAGCAUGGGUAGCGAACAGGAUUAGAUACCCUGGUAGUCCAUGCCGUAAACGAUGAGUGCUAGGUGUUGGAGGGUUUCCGCCCUUCAGUGCCGGAGCUAACGCAUUAAGCACUCCGCCUGGGGAGUACGACCGCAAGGUUGAAACUCAAAGGAAUUGACGGGGGCCCGCACAAGCGGUGGAGCAUGUGGUUUAAUUCGAAGCUACGCGAAGAACCUUACCAGGUCUUGACAUCUUGCGCUAACCUUAGAGAUAAGGCGUUCCCUUCGGGGACGCAAUGACAGGUGGUGCAUGGUCGUCGUCAGCUCGUGUCGUGAGAUGUUGGGUUAAGUCCCGCAACGAGCGCAACCCUUGUUACUAGUUGCCAGCAUUAAGUUGGGCACUCUAGUGAGACUGCCGGUGACAAACCGGAGGAAGGUGGGGACGACGUCAGAUCAUCAUGCCCCUUAUGACCUGGGCUACACACGUGCUACAAUGGACGGUACAACGAGUCGCAAGCUCGCGAGAGUAAGCUAAUCUCUUAAAGCCGUUCUCAGUUCGGACUGUAGGCUGCAACUCGCCUACACGAAGUCGGAAUCGCUAGUAAUCGCGGAUCAGCAUGCCGCGGUGAAUACGUUCCCGGGCCUUGUACACACCGCCCGUCACACCAUGGGAGUUUGUAACGCCCAAAGUCGGUGGCCUAACCAUUAUGGAGGGAGCCGCCUAA